AUACUGGGAAAAUGGAAUGAGUACUUCCUUUCAAGGGGUGGAAAUGUUAUAGAACUUGUCCUGAAGUUGUGACAGUCUAACACUGAAUCUCAAGCCAAUCAUGCAGACAGCAGAUAGCUGCAUCACCUCUGCGUUUUUUCGGACUGGGGUUCAUUGCUCUUCAUUAAAACAUGCCACAGUGCUCAUCCUUCUGGAACUUGGCCAUGGCUGUGCAGACCAUGGUGGUAUUGCACAGACCACUCUGGUAGCUGUGGAUUGACUGUGAUACGAAAAGCAAAGCAGUGUGUCCAUGGUACAAAUCUCUGCACUGUCCCAAGAGAUGCUCAUCCAGAACUGCUCUGUUAUGCCGCUGCAGUGUGCCUUGUAGAUCCAGAAGUAGUAACAACUGGAGCGUGCUAUGGAAAGGGAUCUUGGUCAUGUUCCUGUGCCUACUCAGAAGGAGCAGCAAUCUAUCAUUCAACAGAUAUUUUUAUUUUCCUUGAUCCCACUGAUAAAAUCUACGCAAUCUCAACAUUACUUAUAGCAAACUUGUCCUCUCAAAAACACCACUCAGGAUACUUCUUGCUAGAGCACAGAUAA
RNAcentral lists this long non-coding RNA (579 nucleotides) under Numida meleagris (helmeted guineafowl). Its description in RNAcentral is "lncRNA (ENSNMEG00000001799.1)". The record is from RNAcentral. Lineage: Eukaryota; Metazoa; Chordata; Aves; Galliformes; Numididae.